GUGUUUGUGGCUCAGUGGUAAAGCACUUGCCUAGCAUGCAUGAGGCACUGGGUUUGAUCCUUGGAAUCACA
This 71-nucleotide transfer RNA is filed under the name Ictidomys tridecemlineatus (thirteen-lined ground squirrel). Its description in RNAcentral is "Spermophilus tridecemlineatus (thirteen-lined ground squirrel) tRNA". It matches the Rfam family "tRNA". Rfam says of the family: Transfer RNA (tRNA) molecules are approximately 80 nucleotides in length. Their secondary structure includes four short double-helical elements and three loops (D, anti-codon, and T loops). Lineage: Eukaryota; Metazoa; Chordata; Mammalia; Rodentia; Sciuridae. The record is from Rfam by way of RNAcentral.